Molecule: ribosomal RNA, 540 nt
Filed under: uncultured bacterium
Lineage: Bacteria
Description: partial 16S ribosomal RNA
Source: RNAcentral
CGGCUACCUUGUUACGACUUAGCCCCAGUCACCAGUUUUACCCUAGGGCGCUCCUUGCGGUUACGCACUUCAGGUACCCCCGGCUCCCAUGGCUUGACGGGCGGUGUGUACAAGGCCCGGGAACGUAUUCACCGCGCCGUGGCUGAUGCGCGAUUACUAGCGAAUCCAGCUUCAUGAAGUCGGGUUGCAGACUUCAAUCCGAACUGAGAGAGGUUUUUGGGAUUGGCAUCCACUUGCGUGGUAGCAGCCCUCUGUACCCCCCAUUGUAACACGUGUGUAGCCCCGGACGUAAGGGCCGUGCUGAUUUGACGUCAUCCCCACCUUCCUCACAUCUUACGAUGGCAGUCCCGACAGAGUCCUCAGCAUGACCUGUUAGUAACUAUCGGCAAGGGUUGCGCUCGUUAUGGCACUUAAGCCGACACCUCACGGCACGAGCUGACGACAACCAUGCAGCACCUUCACAACCGCUAUUGCUAGCUAUGGCGUUUCCGCCAUAUCCGGUUGCAAUUUAAGCCCGGGUAAGGUUCCUCGCGUAUCAUC